RNAcentral lists this ribosomal RNA (585 nucleotides) under Triticum aestivum (bread wheat). Its description in RNAcentral is "partial small subunit ribosomal RNA". Lineage: Eukaryota; Viridiplantae; Streptophyta; Magnoliopsida; Poales; Poaceae. The record is from RNAcentral.
AUGGCGUCCCUCACCACCACCACCGCCUCCUCGCCGGCCGCCCUGCCCGCGGCGGCCUCCGCCGCCCCGGCCACGGCCUCGUCCGUCUCGCCCACCGCGGCCGCCUCCAAGCGCCCGCACCUCGCCGGCGACGACGCGCCCUGGCGCGUCGCGGCCGCCGGCUCCGCCGGAAUCCGCCCCGUCCCGCGCAUCCACCACGGCCCCGUCCUCCGCGUCGCCCAGGACGACUCCUCCGCCUACGCCCUCGCCAUCAUGAGGGUACGUACCGCUCCGCCUUGGUUUGGUUCAAUUUUCGUCGGUUGGUGGGUAGGUGAGGGGAGGCCUGAUUUUGAUCCCCAUCUCUCUCUGCAGAAUCCGGAUCCGAUAGGGAUGGGGCUGGCCAUGGAGGCCGUAGCUGAGGCUGCUGGCCCGGAGUGCAUCGUGCCCGGCCAGCAGGCGCCUCUGCGGCUGAUGGGACUCAAGGUUUGGCCCCUAGAUAUAGAGAUGAAGUUCUUGGAACCAUUUGGCCGGGAAUUACACUCCAUGAAGAAGUUCAUGGACAAAUCAUGCAGCGUCAUGGACUCAUCUUCUAUAACACAUAAGUAG